Molecule: ribosomal RNA, 453 nt
Filed under: uncultured bacterium
Lineage: Bacteria
Description: bacterial SSU rRNA
Rfam family: Bacterial small subunit ribosomal RNA
Source: RNAcentral
GGACGGGUGAGUAACGCGUGGGUAACCUACCCCGAAGUCCGGGAUAACAGCGGGAAACCGCUGCUAAUACCGGAUGUCUUUACCUUGGGGCAUCUUGAGGUAAAGAAAGGCAACGCUUUGGGAUGGGCCCGCGUCCCAUUAGCUAGUUGGUGAGGUAACGGCUCACCAAGGCGACGAUGGGUAGCCGGCCUGAGAGGGUGGACGGCCACACUGGGACUGAGACACGGCCCAGACUCCUACGGGAGGCAGCAGUAGGGAAUAUUGCGCAAUGGACGGAAGUCUGACGCAGCGACGCCGCGUGAGCGAUGAAGGUCUUCGGAUCGUAAGGCUCUGUCCUUGGGGAAGAAGGCGAAAGCUUGACGGUACCCAAGAAGAAAGCCCCGGCUAACUACGUGCCAGCAGCCGCGGUAAUACGUAGGGGGCGAGCGUUGUCCGGAAUUACUGGGCGUAAAG